This 456-nucleotide ribosomal RNA is filed under the name Triticum aestivum (bread wheat). RNAcentral describes it as "partial small subunit ribosomal RNA". Lineage: Eukaryota; Viridiplantae; Streptophyta; Magnoliopsida; Poales; Poaceae. The record is from RNAcentral.
AUGCAGGUGGAGUCACUUGACCUAUCACACAAUGAUUUGUCCGGUGAAAUCCCUUCAAGCUUAUCGACUCUCACAUCAUUGAGUCGCCUGAACCUGUCCUACUACAACCCGAGGGGGAAAAUACCUACUGGAAAUCAACUGCAAACACUCGAAGACCCGGCCUAUAUUUAUAUUGGCAACCCCGGCCUCUACGGUCCUCCUCUCUCUGUAAAUUGUUCGUCACAGCCCAAGCCAAUUCCAGGAGAAAACCACGGAGAUGCAAGCGAAGACUUGGUUUCGUUUUUCCUUGCCAUGGGCCCUGGAUAUGUGAUGGGUCUCUGGGUGGUCUUCUGUACCUUCUUGUUCAAGAGAAGAUGGAGAGUUUCGUGGUACUCGCUCUGUGACAGACUGUAUGAUUGGGUGUAUGUGCAAGUGGCUGUUACCUGGAGUUCCUUGAGAGGUAAAAUCAAUGGGUGA